Molecule: microRNA, 26 nt
Filed under: Tribolium castaneum (red flour beetle)
Lineage: Eukaryota; Metazoa; Arthropoda; Insecta; Coleoptera; Tenebrionidae
Description: tca-miR-3865-3p
Source: miRBase by way of RNAcentral
UUAGCACACCAGUGUGGUUUCCUUGC